This 233-nucleotide ribosomal RNA is filed under the name uncultured bacterium. Its description in RNAcentral is "partial 16S ribosomal RNA". It matches the Rfam family "Bacterial small subunit ribosomal RNA", at positions 15 to 236 of the family's 1533-position model. The record is from RNAcentral.
GAUCAUGGCUCAGGAUGAACGCUAGCUACAGGCUUAACACAUGCAAGUCGAGGGGAAACGAUAGAGAAAGCUUGCUUUUUCUAGGCGUCGACCGGCGCACGGGUGAGUAACGCGUAUCCAACCUGCCCAUCACUUGGGGAUAACCUUGCGAAAGUAAGACUAAUACCCAACUGACGUCUCUAGAAGACAUCUGAAGGAGAUUAAAGAUUAUCGGUGAUGGAUGGGGAGUGCGU